GAUGAACGCUGGCGGCGUGCCUAAUACAUGCAAGUCGAGCGAACGGACGAGAAGCUUGCUUCUCUGAUGUUAGCGGCGGACGGGUGAGUAACACGUGGAUAACCUACCUAUAAGACUGGGAUAACUUCGGGAAACCGGAGCUAAUACCGGAUAAUAUUUUGAACCGCAUGGUUCAAAAGUGAAAGACGGUCUUGCUGUCACUUAUAGAUGGAUCCGCGCUGCAUUAGCUAGUUGGUAAGGUAACGGCUUACCAAGGCAACGAUGCAUAGCCGACCUGAGAGGGUGAUCGGCCACACUGGAACUGAGACACGGUCAAGACGCCUACGGGAGGCAGCAGUAGGGAAUCGGCCGCAAUGGGCGAAAGCCUGACGGAGCAACGCCGCGUGAGUGAUGAAGGUCUUCGGAUCGUAAAACUCUGUUAUUAGGGAAGAACAUAUGUGUAAGUAACUGUGCACAUCGUGACGGUACCUAAUCAGAAAGCCACGGCUAACUACGUG
RNAcentral lists this ribosomal RNA (497 nucleotides) under uncultured bacterium. RNAcentral's name for it is "partial 16S ribosomal RNA". It matches the Rfam family "Bacterial small subunit ribosomal RNA", at positions 28 to 507 of the family's 1533-position model. The record is from RNAcentral.